UAAGAAUCUGACCGCAGCAGCUUGGCUCACCCCAGGGAACUGGGGAUUUAACCCCAGCCUGGUGUAGUGGGUUAAAGGAUCCGGUGUUGCCAUGGCUGUAGUAUAGGUCGCAGCUUCAGCUCAGAUUCAGUCCCUGGCCUGGGAAUUUCCAUAUGCCGCAGGUGCAAUCAUAAAAAAGAAGAACACAGAGUGCCAAAGCCACAGAAGCAGCCACAGAACUUGAACUCGUAACUGUCCACAUUAUUAGGCAAGGUGUCCCACCAUCAGGACUGAAGUGGACUAGCAGAGGUUAAGGUAACCCAAGAACAUGCACUCUUUAUAUCCUGAACCAUCCUUAAUGCGCCUCUUCUUGGUACCCAGCACGUCGCUGGAUACUGUGGAUUCCAACACGGAAAAGAUAGCGAUCCUGUCUCCCAGGCACCCCAUCUGGUUUGAAAGAAACUCAGAGAGGUAAAUAGUUCCUGGACAGAGUGACAGAGGUGCACUCAAGGCAAACAAGAAUGGAUAAUUCAUGAGCAAAACCACUUGUCACUUUGGUGCCUGGAUGCUGCUCACCAAGGCUGAGCAUAUGCUAAUAAGAACGGCCAGGCAGGAGAGGAUGCCGGAAAACUGGGCCCGGCCAGGCCACAAAGGACUGUGUGUGCCAGGCUGGGAAGUUGGGGCUGAGACCUACGUCCUGCUUUUUUGUUUGGGUUUUUUGAUAUUUUCAUUUAAAUAUUGAUUAUACUUUUUUUUUUUUUGGUCUUUUUAUGGCUGCACCCAUGGCAUAUUGGAAAUUUCCAGGCUAGGGGUUGAAUCGGAGCUACAUCUGCCGGCCUACACCACAGCUACAGCAAUACGGGAUCCAAGCCAUGUCUGUGACCUACACCACAGCUCAUGGCAGUGCCAGAUCCUUAACCCACUGAGCAAAGCCAGGGAUUGAACACGUGUCCUCAAGUUUCCUAGUCAGGUUUGUUACCACUGAGCCAUGAUGGGAACUCCUGUAUUUUUAUUAUGGUAAUUGUUGGCUACUAUUAUUUGCUAUAAUGAACAUUUUUAUUUUUAUAUUUUAUUUUUUUUUGCUUUU
Molecule: long non-coding RNA, 1066 nt
Filed under: Sus scrofa (pig)
Lineage: Eukaryota; Metazoa; Chordata; Mammalia; Artiodactyla; Suidae
Description: lncRNA (ENSSSCG00065025550.1)
Source: RNAcentral